CGUCACAUUCGGUCUCAAUACAUAGAUAUCGCUCACCACUAGAGGAAACCUCGGCAGAUUUAGCCGCCAUCUUUAACCAGGACUCCCCAGUCGUUUCCUCCAUUCACUUGCAUCGAGUACGGAGGAGGAUCCGACAAUCGGCGUGUUUGGAGGAGAUCGCAAUCCACAGAGGUAUCAGGCACAACAAAACCAGAUCCAAGAGAGCCUCCACGUAAACAUUGAAUGGACCUCAAAGAGGGAGCCGGGAUAGCUUGAACCGGUAAUGGCCCAGAUGUUCAGUGUUUUGGAAGGGGCUUCCUGUCAGGCCCAGCAUGGGAGGAAGACAAUUUACUAUCAAGAAGGGAGCACCAUACUAUCCAAGACCUUGACUUGCCUGAGACCAAAACAAGACCAAGACUUUUGGGAGUCGAGACAGAGAAAAGACCAAGACCAAGACAAGGCCAAGAGACUUGUGGUCUUGAGACUAAGAGACUAUUUAAAAUGGGGUGUUUCCCUAUGAUGUUGAGUUUUUUGCCCAGUCAUGUGACCAAAUUUGGAAAACUUAGCGAUAGCUUAUGUGACGGUGACGGUAACCUGUAAGUCAGGUCAUUCAUCUUUCAAGACAUCAAUUGAUAGUUUAAACCAUAAAUAUACCGAAAACUACAAUGUCAAAAAAACUUUAUUAAUAUUGCAAAUAUUUACGACCAUUGCUGUACUCUUAAAAACACAGUAAAUGGUUUAUAGCUGGGGAUGCACAUACGCAAAGUACACGAGUCGUACGUAUGUCA
Molecule: long non-coding RNA, 767 nt
Organism: Phycodurus eques (leafy seadragon)
Lineage: Eukaryota; Metazoa; Chordata; Actinopteri; Syngnathiformes; Syngnathidae
Exons: 3
Source: RefSeq, a predicted model, not a curated record